Molecule: ribosomal RNA, 465 nt
Filed under: uncultured bacterium
Lineage: Bacteria
Description: partial 16S ribosomal RNA
Rfam family: Bacterial small subunit ribosomal RNA
Source: RNAcentral
CCUACGGGAGGCAGCAGUAGGGAAUCUUCCACAAUGGGCGAAAGCCUGAUGGAGCAACGCCGCGUGGGUGAAGAAGGUCUUCGGAUCGUAAAACCCUGUUGUUAGAGAAGAAAGUGCGCGAGAGUAACUGUUCACGUUUCGACGGUAUCUAACCAGAAAGCCACGGCUAACUACGUGCCAGCAGCCGCGGUAAUACGUAGGUGGCAAGCGUUAUCCGGAUUUAUUGGGCGUAAAGGGGACGCAGGCGGUCUUUUAAGUCUGAUGUGAAAGCCUUCGGCUUAACCGGAGUAGUGCAUUGGAAACUGGGAGACGUGAGUGCAGAAGAGGAGAGGGGAACUCCAGGUGUAGCGGGGAAAUGCGUAGAUAUAUGGAAGAACACCAGUGGCGAAAGCGGCUCUCUGGUCUGUAACUGACGCUGAGGUUCGAAAGCGUGGGUAGCAAACAGGAUUAGAUACCCCAGUAGUC